This 951-nucleotide long non-coding RNA is filed under the name Zostera marina. Its description in RNAcentral is "long non-coding RNA (ZMAR_LNC002023)". Lineage: Eukaryota; Viridiplantae; Streptophyta; Magnoliopsida; Alismatales; Zosteraceae. The record is from RNAcentral.
AUCGAAAAAUGUAUUAUCAUCAUCAUCAUCAAAGACUACUGGGACCGAGACCCAGUCAACCUUGACAACCUCCGUAAGGUGAGCCGAAACCCAGUCAACAACCAACCGUAUCGGUAAGGAAUAAGACUUGAAAGAAAAUCAGGCCAAAGAGAGCUAUGUCGUCGUCCUUCUUGCGAUUAAGUACGUAAAUGACAAAAAAUUUAGUAAAUCGAAAGACAAAAAUUCAGUAAAUCGCAGAUAACAAAAGAAGAAUCGCAAAUUGCAAAAGAAAGAGAGAAAGAAAAUCGUAAAUCGUUGUAUUAUAUAAUCGCAAACCAGAUUCACAGUCGCCAAGAACAAUCGACGGAAAUUCCAGUUGCAAACAAGAACCGAUCGCAAAUCGCAACGCCAAGACGAGAUGCCCAAAUCGCGACAAUGAAGAAAAUCCAAACCACAAAGUCGCCGAAAUCGGAAAAGAAUGGAUUAAGGAAACACACUGUCAGAUCGAUCGUGGAAGCACACUGCCGAUCACUGGGUGGUCAAGAAGAAGAGCCAAGAAAACAAAAUCGGUUGUCAAAAUAAAAACAAAUUAAAUUACGUUUUUACCCAACUGAUACCAUCUUAGAAAUUGUUGGUGCCGAGCAGGCCCGUCGAGCGGACCUCGGGCCGAACAGACCAUGGGUCCGCCGUCUGGGCCAAAGAAGGCCCAUGGGCGAAUUUUAUAAAUGUCUCCCGUGUUCUAACAAGGGAAGGGGUUGGAAAAUAGAGAGAAUAUACUAUCUUGUGAGAGAGAGGGUUGUGUGUGUGAGCAACCGAUUUGUAAGCCCACACACCAUCAGAAACUAAUCACACUUCAUUAACUAUAACGCGAUCUCCACCCCAAGUCCACGACCAAAGAAUCACCAGAUGAAUCGCCGGUCGGAGAGGGAUUUGGGGAAGAAAUCAAAACAAAAAACGAACGAUUUAAAAAAG